RNAcentral lists this microRNA (22 nucleotides) under Pongo pygmaeus (Bornean orangutan). The record is from RNAcentral. Lineage: Eukaryota; Metazoa; Chordata; Mammalia; Primates; Hominidae.
UGAUUGGUACGUCUGCAGGUAG